CGUAGAUUGAACGCUGGCGGCAGGCCUAACACAUGCAAGUCGAGCGGCAGCGGGAAGUAGCUUGCUACUUUGCCGGCGAGCGGCGGACGGGUGAGUAAUGUCUGGGGAUCUGCCCGAUGGAGGGGGAUAACUACUGGAAACGGUAGCUAAUACCGCAUAACGUCGCAAGACCAAAGUGGGGGACCUUCGGGCCUCACACCAUCGGAUGAACCCAGAUGGGAUUAGCUAGUAGGUGGGGUAACGGCUCACCUAGGCGACGAUCCCUAGCUGGUCUGAGAGGAUGACCAGCCACACUGGAACUGAGACACGGUCCAGACUCCUACGGGAGGCAGCAGUGGGGAAUAUUGCACAAUGGGCGCAAGCCUGAUGCAGCCAUGCCGCGUGUGUGAAGAAGGCCUUCGGGUUGUAAAGCACUUUCAGCGGGGAGGAAGGAGUAAGUGUUAAUAGCACUUAUUAUUGACGUUACCCGCAGAAGAAGCACCGGCUAACUCCGUGCCAGCAGCCGCGGUAAUACGGAGGGUGCGAGCGUUAAUCGGAAUUACUGGGCGUAAAGCGUACGCAGGCGGUUUGUUAAGUCAGAUGUGAAAUCCCCGAGCUUAACUCGGGAACUGCAUUUGAAACUGGCAGGCUAGAGUCUCGUAGAGGGGGGUAGAAUUCCAGGUGUAGCGGUGAAAUGCGUAGAGAUCUGGAGGAAUACCGGUGGCGAAGGCGGCCCCCUGGACGAAGACUGACGCUCAGGUACGAAAGCGUGGGGAGCAAACAGGAUUAGAUACCCUGGUAGUCCACGCUGUAAACGAUGUCGAUUUGAAGGUUGUGGCCUUGAGCCGUGGCUUUCGGAGCUAACGCGUUAAAUCGACCGCCUUG
Molecule: ribosomal RNA, 864 nt
Filed under: Yersinia sp. (in: enterobacteria)
Lineage: Bacteria; Pseudomonadati; Pseudomonadota; Gammaproteobacteria; Enterobacterales; Yersiniaceae
Description: bacterial SSU rRNA
Rfam family: Bacterial small subunit ribosomal RNA
Source: RNAcentral